CUCUCCGGUUCUCGUCCGAUUGCCGAAGUUAAGCAACGUCGAGUUUGGUCAGUACCUAGAUGGGUGACCACUUAGCAAUACCAUGUGAUGUAA
Molecule: non-coding RNA, 93 nt
Organism: Acanthosepion pharaonis
Lineage: Eukaryota; Metazoa; Mollusca; Cephalopoda; Sepiida; Sepiidae
Source: the annotation of a GenBank genome assembly